CUGGCACACCUGAACCUCUCAGCCCAAAGGCUGAGUGUGAAAAAUUCUGCUGAACAACUGAACUGUUCCUCAAGGUUUUUGCAAAAGCUUCGUGCACCAAGGAGCUGCACAACAAACCCUGUUAGCUAAUGGUCCUAGACAGACGAAAUCCAACCCUUAAGGAUUUGUGAAUGAAGAAUCUUGCACAAACACGAUAUCUUUUUGGCUCCUACAGAGCAGGUAGAAUUACCUGGUCUUCCAGCAAGACCUUCCAAAGAACCAGGGAGAACAAGGACAGGUGAAAGAUGAUUUCCUACAGUGGGAUACCUUACUUGGGGAAGAAGGGAUCAGUUACCUUCUUCUCAUAUCAGUUGCAAAGUGAGUUAGCUCAACAUGAAUGGCAACCAAUCUGAUUGCAUAUCCCUCCAAAUCUGGAUUCUGAUUGAAAGGUACAUCAAGCUGUUUCUGACCUCACUCAGCACAGCUCUGCCCAGACCUGAGGUCAGUGCUUACCAGCCAGGGCCUUGAUGCGGGAGCGCUCGAAGAGCCGAGCAGAGCUGUUCUCGUUG
Oenanthe melanoleuca is the source of this 548-nucleotide long non-coding RNA. RefSeq lists it as uncharacterized. The transcript has 3 exons. The record is from RefSeq and is a predicted model, not a curated record. Lineage: Eukaryota; Metazoa; Chordata; Aves; Passeriformes; Muscicapidae.